GACGAACGCUGGCGGCGUGCUUAACACAUGCAAGUCGAACGGUGAAGCGCCUUCCUUUUUGGUGGGUGUGGAUGAGUGGCGAACGGGUGAGUAACACGUGAGUAACCUGCCCCCUUCUUCUGGAUAACCGCAUGAAAGUGUGGCUAAUACGGGAUAUUCUGGGUCUGUCGCAUGAUGGGUCUGGGAAAGAUAUUGUUUCGGUGGGGGAUGGGCUCGCGGCCUAUCAGCUUGUUGGUGGGGUGAUGGCCUACCAAGGCGGUGACGGGUAGCCGGCCUGAGAGGGUGGACGGUCACACUGGGACUGAGACACGGCCCAGACUCCUACGGAGGCAGCAGUGGGGAAUAUUGCACAAUGGGCGCAAGCCUGAUGCAGCGACGCCGCGUGAGGGAUGGAGGCCUUCGGGUUGUGAACCUCUUUCGCCAGUGAAGCAGGCCUGCCUCGUUUGUGGGUGGGUUGACGGUAGCUGGAUAAGAAGCGCCGGCUAACUACGUG
RNAcentral lists this ribosomal RNA (493 nucleotides) under uncultured bacterium. Its description in RNAcentral is "partial 16S ribosomal RNA". It matches the Rfam family "Bacterial small subunit ribosomal RNA", at positions 28 to 507 of the family's 1533-position model. The record is from RNAcentral.